This 1054-nucleotide ribosomal RNA is filed under the name uncultured bacterium. Its description in RNAcentral is "bacterial SSU rRNA". It matches the Rfam family "Bacterial small subunit ribosomal RNA", at positions 154 to 1204 of the family's 1533-position model. The record is from RNAcentral.
AAAGGUGUGCUAAUACCGCAUAAUCUCUGAGGAGAAAAGCAGGGGAUCGCAAGACCUUGCGCUUUUGGAGCGGCCGAUGCCUGAUUAGCUUGUUGGUAAGGUAAAAGCUUACCAAGGCUUCNAUCAGUAGCUGGUCUGAGAGGACGACCAGCCACACUGGGACUGAGACACGGCCCANACUCCUACGGGAGGCAGCAGUGGGGAAUUUUGGACAAUGGGGGCAACCCUGAUCCAGCCNUGCCGCGUGAGUGAAGAAGGCCUUCGGNUUGUAAAGNUCUUUCAGCCGGAACGAAACGGUUACGGUUAAUACCCGUGACUAAUGACGGUACCGGAAGAAGAAGCACCGGCUAACUACGUGCCAGCAGCCGCGGUAAUACGUAGGGUGCGAGCGUUAAUCGGAAUUNCUGGGCGUAAAGCGUGCGCAGGUGGUUUUGUAAGUCAGAUGUGAAAGCCCCGGGCUCAACCUGGGAACUGCGUUUGAAACUACAAGACUAGAGUGUGGCAGAGGGGGGUGGAAUUCCGCGUGUAGCAGUGAAAUGCGUAGAGAUGUGGAGGAACACCGAUGGCGAAGGCAGCCCCCUGGGUCAACACUGACGCUCAGGCACGAAAGCAUGGGGAGCAAACAGGAUUAGAUACCCUGGUAGUCCACGCCCUAAACGAUGUCAACUAGUUGUCGGGCCUUUACGGGCUUGGUAACGUAGCUAACGCGUGAAGUUGACCGCCUGGGGAGUACGAUCGCAAGAUUAAAACUCAAAUGAAUUGACGGGGACCCGCACAAGCGGUGGAUUAUGUGGAUUAAUUCGAUGCAACGCGAAAAACCUUACCUACCCUUGACAUGUAUCGAAGCCCGCAGAAAAGCGGAGGUGCCCGAAAGGGAACGAUAACACAGGUGCUGCAUGGCUGUCGUCAGCUCGUGUCGUGAGAUGUUGGGUUAAGUCCCGCAACGAGCGCAACCCUUGUCAUUAAUUGCCAUCAUUUAGUUGGGCACUUUAAUGAGACUGCCGGUGACAAACCGGAGGAAGGUGGGGAUGACGUCAAGUCCUCAUGGCCCUUA